ACCAGACUCCUACGGGAGGCAGCAGUGGGGGAUAUUGCACAAUGGGGGGAACCCUGAUGCAGCGACGCCGCGUGGGUGAAGGAGUGCUUCGGCACGUAAAGCCCUAUCGGCAGGGAAGAAGCAAGACGGUACCUGACUAAGAAGCCCCGGCUAACUACGUGCCAGCAGCCGCGGUAAUACGUAGGGGGCAAGCGUUAUCCGGAUUUACUGGGUGUAAAGGGAGCGUAGACGGCAUGGCAAGUCUGAAGUGAAAGCCCGGGGCUCAACCGCGGGACUGCUUUGGAAACUGUUAAGCUGGAGUGCAGGAGAGGUAAGUGGAAUUCCUAGUGUAGCGGUGAAAUGCGUAGAUAUUAGGAGGAACACCAGUGGCGAAGGCGGCUUACUGGACUGUAACUGACGUUGAGGCUCGAAAGCGUGGGGAGCAAACAGGAUUAGAUACCCCAGUA
RNAcentral lists this ribosomal RNA (446 nucleotides) under uncultured bacterium. RNAcentral's name for it is "bacterial SSU rRNA". It matches the Rfam family "Bacterial small subunit ribosomal RNA", at positions 330 to 792 of the family's 1533-position model. The record is from RNAcentral.